This 253-nucleotide ribosomal RNA is filed under the name uncultured bacterium. Its description in RNAcentral is "partial 16S ribosomal RNA". It matches the Rfam family "Bacterial small subunit ribosomal RNA", at positions 524 to 776 of the family's 1533-position model. The record is from RNAcentral.
UACGGGGGGGGCAAGCGUUGUUCGGAAUUACUGGGCGUAAAGGGCUCGUAGGUGGCCAACUAAGUCAGACGUGAAAUCCCUCGGCUUAACCGGGGAACUGCGUCUGAUACUGGAGGGCUUGAAUUCGGGAGAGGGAUGCAGAAUUCCAGGUGUAGCGGUGAAAUGCGUAGAUAUCUGGAGGAAUACCGGUGGCGAAGGCGGCAUCCUGGACCGAGAUUGACGCUGAGGAGCGAAAGCUAGGGGAGCAAACGGG